UGCCGCGUGAGUGAAGAAGGUCUUCGGAUUGUAAAGCUCUUUCGACGGGGAUGAUGAUGACGGUACCCGUAGAAGAAGACCCCGGCUAACUUCGUGC
Molecule: ribosomal RNA, 97 nt
Filed under: uncultured bacterium
Lineage: Bacteria
Description: partial 16S ribosomal RNA
Rfam family: Bacterial small subunit ribosomal RNA
Source: RNAcentral